AGCAAAGUAAGAGCCGAUUGCCGACAACUGGAACAAGUCGGCGUGGGCAGGAAAGCAUUAUUUGACCAGGGGAUGACGAUCCGGGACUGAUGCUCCUUGACUUAGGAUGGGGUUGCGUCCUGAUAAACCCACCGUAAGCUGAAAAUACUGUCAGUGAAAACGCAUUUCCUACACGUAACUGACAGAACACCAUCGCUACCCAGCCUGCCUGAGACGUGCUCAGGACACGCACGGCAGCCUGCAGCCUGCAGCCUGGCAGGGUCCUCUAACACAGUGAACACACAUGGAGGGUCGCUUGUUGCCCUCAGGAUUGCAUGGCUGGCCGGGAGCUGUGUGCUGCCACACUGCCCAGCGUCACACAACGUUACCGCCAGCAGAGGAAAAGAUCGAAAUUCGAAGUGUGCAGGAUGGUUUCUCAUGGACGCGCAUCGCGUUUGCGCCAUUGUAAGGUGGAACAAUUGAACCAUUUGCAAGCCUGCUUUGUAUCAUACCGCUGAUCAGCGCUUAUUCUGGGGACCUGGGAUUUGAUCGCUGGCCUGUACAUUUGUCUUGCUCACUAGAUCAUGGCUGCUUGAGGAGUCUGAUACGAAUUCCGGAGUUCCCGGUACUUAACAAACACCCAAUAACAGGGUAUUGCUAGCACAUAACAGGUACCCAAUAAAAGUUUAUCAGUAAUUCCAUAUGCAAAGGGAAAAGAGGAUUGUUUAAAAGUGCAUGCAUACGAAUAUGCACAAUUUCAUAUUCUAAUAACAGCAACUUAACAGUUUAAAAACUACCUUCACGUGUUUGUAAGAAACAGGCUGCUAGCUCCCCCUCUGCACUGUAGCGGUCAUAAAAUACAUAAUAAAUUAAAGGAAGUAACAAUAUCUCUUUGACGACAGUUUACUGUUCCAUCCUGAGCUGAUGCCAACUUAAUGUUAUCAUUAAAUAAUUCCAUUAACUGCAAUUGUGCAGUUUACUGAGCCAUUACUGUCAUCAAAAAGUGAAAGUAUAUUCAAAACUGAAAACAGAGGCUUACAUAGGAGUAAAUGGCAUUAACAUGCAAACAAAUUAGGUGCGGGAGAAACAGCAAUAGCAAUGGGACUGGCAUUCCAGCCCAGGCUCAGCAUUAACACACGAUUACGUUUUAAUAUUUACACAUAGAUGAACAAUAA
Long non-coding RNA from Rhinolophus ferrumequinum (greater horseshoe bat), 1154 nucleotides. RefSeq lists it as uncharacterized. The transcript is spliced from 3 exons. The record is from RefSeq and is a predicted model, not a curated record. NCBI's taxonomy places the organism in Eukaryota, Metazoa, Chordata, Mammalia, Chiroptera, Rhinolophidae.